GACGAACGCUGGCGGCGUGCCUAAUACAUGCAAGUAGAACGCUGAAGGAGGAGCUUGCUUCUCUGGAUGAGUUGCGAACGGGUGAGUAACGCGUAGGUAACCUGCCUGGUAGCGGGGGAUAACUAUUGGAAACGAUAGCUAAUACCGCAUAAUAGUAGAUGUUGCAUGACAUUUGCUUAAAAGGUGCAAUUGCAUCACUACCAGAUGGACCUGCGUUGUAUUAGCUAGUUGGUGAGGUAACGGCUCACCAAGGCGACGAUACAUAGCCGACCUGAGAGGGUGCUCGGCCACACUGGGACUGAGACACGGCCCAGACUCCUACGGGAGGCAGCAGUAGGGAAUCUUCGGCAAUGGACGGAAGUCUGACCGAGCAACGCCGCGUGAGUGAAGAAGGUUUUCGGAUCGUAAAGCUCUGUUGUAAGAGAAGAACGAGUGUGAGAGUGGAAAGUUCACACUGUGACGGUAUCUUACCAGAAAGGGACGGCUAACUACGUG
RNAcentral lists this ribosomal RNA (495 nucleotides) under uncultured bacterium. RNAcentral's name for it is "partial 16S ribosomal RNA". It matches the Rfam family "Bacterial small subunit ribosomal RNA", at positions 28 to 507 of the family's 1533-position model. The record is from RNAcentral.